This 366-nucleotide ribosomal RNA is filed under the name unidentified. RNAcentral's name for it is "Burmoniscus sp. partial 12S ribosomal RNA". The record is from RNAcentral.
UUAGAUACCCUAUUAUCCUAGGAUAACUUUCCUUAAGGUAGUAGUUGCUAUAAGCUUGAAACCUAAAGAAUUUGGCGGUGUUUAAUUAAAUCAGAGGAGCCUGUUUAUUAAUAGAUAAUCCACUUUAUAUCUUUCUUUGACUUAGUUUGUAUACCGUCAUCUAUAUUAAUUUUUUUAGAAAUUAAUUAUUUGGUACCACAUCAAAGUUAGAUCAAGGUGCAGCUUUUUAAAGGUUAAAAUGGGUUACAAUUAAUAUCAGAGUGGAGAUAUUUUGACAAAUGAAUUAAAAUAGGAUUUGAAAGUAAUUUUAGUUUAGUAAGCUGAGAUGAGUGUUCCUAAAACAUGCACACAUCGCCCGUCGCUCUU